GGGGUCGUGGGGUAGCUUGGUCUAUCCUGUCGGCUUUGGGAGCCGGUGACUCGAGUUCGAAUCUCGACGACCCCACCA
This 78-nucleotide transfer RNA is filed under the name Hadesarchaea archaeon B3_Hades. RNAcentral describes it as "tRNA-Pro". It matches the Rfam family "tRNA". Rfam says of the family: Transfer RNA (tRNA) molecules are approximately 80 nucleotides in length. Their secondary structure includes four short double-helical elements and three loops (D, anti-codon, and T loops). The record is from RNAcentral. RNAcentral also lists the same sequence under 4 other names. Lineage: Archaea; Methanobacteriati; Hadarchaeota (SeqCode); Hadarchaeia (SeqCode).